This 129-nucleotide non-coding RNA is filed under the name unclassified sequences. The record is from RNAcentral.
GUAUUGAGUCUUGGUGGGAAAUCAGUGUGUAAUUCAUUGGCUCUUCCUGGAACCGUAUAGUCGGAGUGCCACCCAAUAUAGUCCGCUGUUGAAUGAUGGCCAGGAAAAGUCUAGUUCUGCAAUGAAAAA